RNAcentral lists this small nuclear RNA (110 nucleotides) under Meriones unguiculatus (Mongolian gerbil). The record is from RNAcentral. Lineage: Eukaryota; Metazoa; Chordata; Mammalia; Rodentia; Muridae.
UCAUUAAAAUGUCCUAAAGUGUGCUCCCUAAAAUUGGAACGAUACAGAGAAGACUAGCAUGGGCCCUGAGCAAGGAUGACACACAAAUUCAUGAAGCGUUCUAUAUUUUU